AUUGAACGCUGGCGGCAUGCCUUACACAUGCAAGUCGAACGGCAGCACGGGUGCUUGCACCUGGUGGCGAGUGGCGAACGGGUGAGUAAUACAUCGGAACGUACCUUAUCGUGGGGGAUAACGCAGCGAAAGUUGCGCUAAUACCGCAUACGCCCUGAGGGGGAAAGCGGGGGACCGUAAGGCCUCGCGCGAUUAGAGCGGCCGAUGUCUGAUUAGCUUGUUGGUGAGGUAAAAGCUCACCAAGGCGAUGAUCAGUAGCUGGUCUGAGAGGACGAUCAGCCACACUGGGACUGAGACACGGCCCAGACUCCUACGGGAGGCAGCAGUGGGGAAUUUUGGACAAUGGGGGCAACCCUGAUCCAGCAAUGCCGCGUGAGUGAAGAAGGCCUUCGGGUUGUAAAGCUCUUUUGUCAGGGAAGAAACAGCAGCUCUAACACAGUCUGCGAAUGACGGUACCUGAAGAAUAAGCACCGGCUAACUACGUGCCAGCAGCCGCCGCCG
Molecule: ribosomal RNA, 501 nt
Filed under: uncultured bacterium
Lineage: Bacteria
Description: partial 16S ribosomal RNA
Rfam family: Bacterial small subunit ribosomal RNA
Source: RNAcentral